UGCAAGGAUUGCCAUGUGAGUGACCUUGA
Molecule: non-coding RNA, 29 nt
Filed under: Homo sapiens (human)
Lineage: Eukaryota; Metazoa; Chordata; Mammalia; Primates; Hominidae
Source: RNAcentral